RNAcentral lists this transfer RNA (75 nucleotides) under Cordylochernes scorpioides. RNAcentral's name for it is "tRNA-Thr". Lineage: Eukaryota; Metazoa; Arthropoda; Arachnida; Pseudoscorpiones; Chernetidae. The record is from RNAcentral.
UGUCAAGGGAUGGGAAUCGAACACACGACCUUCCUCUUACCGGGCAGAUGCCAUGACCACUAGGCUACCCUGGAC